AACGAACGCUGGCGGCAUGCCUAACACAUGCGAGUCGAACGAGACCUUCGGGUCUAGUGGCGCACGGGUGCGUAACGCGUGGGAACCUGCCCUUAGGUUCAGAAUAACUCCCCGAAAGGGGUGCUAAUACCGGAUAAUGUCUUCGGACCAAAGAUUUAUCGCCUUUGGAUGGGCCCGCGUUGGAUUAGCUAGUUGGUAGGGUAAAAGCCUACCAAGGCGACGAUCCAUAGCUGGUCUGAGAGGAUGAUCAGCCACACUGGGACUGAGACACGGCCCAGACUCCUACGGGAGGCAGCAGUGGGGAAUAUUGGACAAUGGGCGAAAGCCUGAUCCAGCAAUGCCGCGUGAGUGAUGAAGGCCUUAGGGUUGUAAAGCUCUUUUACCCGGGAUGAUAAUGACAGUACCGGGAGAAUAAGCUCCGGCUAACUCCGUG
Molecule: ribosomal RNA, 433 nt
Filed under: uncultured bacterium
Lineage: Bacteria
Description: partial 16S ribosomal RNA
Rfam family: Bacterial small subunit ribosomal RNA
Source: RNAcentral